This 418-nucleotide long non-coding RNA is filed under the name Mytilus galloprovincialis (Mediterranean mussel). Lineage: Eukaryota; Metazoa; Mollusca; Bivalvia; Mytilida; Mytilidae. The record is from RNAcentral.
UCGAAAUUUCACUAUUAAUUGGAGCCGAUUUUUAUUGGGAAAUAGUUGAAGAUAAAGUUGUACGCGGAAACGGACCCACCGCAGUCAAAUCAAAAUUAGGGUACUUACUUUCUGGACCGUUAAAUUCAGAAAAAUCACAGCUAUCAACAGUGUCAAGUAUUUCCAAUGUACUUAUUUCACAUCAAACAGAGGAACACAACUUAGAAGCGUUUAGGAAGAUUGAAGCUCGAGAAGUAGAUUUCAACAAGUACACGACGACAAAGAGAACUAUAUAAGAACUUCAAUUGAGUUUCGCGACAACCAAGAUUAUGCAAAGUUACCAUGGAAACACGACAACGAUUAAAGAGAACAUUAAACUUGUUUUAUGGACUUUUGAAGUAAAGUGAUCAAGCAUAUUUGUUUAAAAAUGUGUUAAGCG